GUAGGUGGCAAGCGUUGUCCGGAAUUAUUGGGCGUAAAGCGCGCGCAGGCGGGUCCGUUUAAGUCCUGAUGUGAAAGCCCACGGGCUCAACCGUGGAGGGUCAUUGGAAACUGGGGGACUUGAGUACAGAAGAGGAAAGCGGAAUUCCAAGUGUAGCGGUGAAAUGCGUAGAGAUUUGGAGGAACACCAGUGGCGAAGGCGGCUUUCUGGUCUGUAACAGACGCUGAGGCGCGAAAGCGUGGGGAGCAAACAGGAUUAGAUACCCUGGUAGUCCACGCCGUAAACGAUGAGUGCUAAGUGUUAGGGGGUUUCCGCCCCUUAGUGCUGCAGCUAACGCAUUAAGCACUCCGCCUGGGGAGUACGGCCGCAAAGGCUG
This 376-nucleotide ribosomal RNA is filed under the name uncultured organism. RNAcentral describes it as "partial 16S ribosomal RNA". It matches the Rfam family "Bacterial small subunit ribosomal RNA", at positions 527 to 896 of the family's 1533-position model. The record is from RNAcentral.